Vicugna pacos (alpaca) is the source of this 2054-nucleotide non-coding RNA. Lineage: Eukaryota; Metazoa; Chordata; Mammalia; Artiodactyla; Camelidae. The record is from RefSeq and is a predicted model, not a curated record.
CCCUUCCCUAAAGUUCAUGAUCAACUUUGCUGUCUUCUCCUUUUCCCCACCUCUAAGAGUGGCAUGCCCUAGCACCUUGUCCUUGAAACUGUAUUCCAUCCACUUCAAACCCUAAGGAACCUCAUUUCUUUUAAUAGUUUUCUGUAACUUACUAACUCCAGAUUUUGAGCUGUGAAGCCUUUUUUGGGAGAUUGAGGCUGUCAACCUUGACGUUUAACAUAAACUCCAUCACAUAUUUGACCAAUGACUAGCUGUUCUGUGGUUGUUUGAUGUUUUGCAGGAAAAGCCCUUCUGUUGCAGUGGAGGCCCACAGUGAAAAUAAAUCAUCUCAGGACGCCAAUAAUACCGUGCUGAUUCAUGGCCCCAUAGAGCUCGUAAGAGGCUGGAGGAGGCAGAAGGGGCAACUCGUCCCAAACAGUGAUACAUUGCUUACAUCUAACGUCAAGUAUAAAAAGAACUUCAAUAUAAAAUAUAAAAUCCCACUGAACACCGUGUGGACUGCCAACUGUACAGACAAAAGAAGGGGAAGCCAUCAAUGCACGCAAGUCCUUUGCUUGGGCUGGCCCAUGGUGAACUUCGUGGCCACCUUUAAGUAAGACCUACAGCUUGGUCCUGAUAUUACAUGAGUUAUAAAGGAAAACAUUUAAAUUGGAUUAUAUACUAAUUGGAUUAUAUACUAAGUCAGUGACUCACUUUCUGACCUCCCAUAAUGACAUUUGUAUGCCUUGUACUCUCCCCCCAAAAAGGUUUCUAUGUGCAAUUGAUGAUAAAUAGGGGGAACUACUGGAAGACUGUCCUUUAGUUUUGAUCAGUGGUUUUUCAAAUGGGCUAUAGGAGCCACCUGGGGAGUUGGACCUUCAUGAGUUCAUGGUGUUCGUGUAAGUGGAAGGAGGAUCAUGAGAUCAGGUCUCCAGGGCUCCUCUCUAACAGCCUGCCCCCGAUGCCUGGGGAGUAUCUGUGUUUCUCAAUCCCUGGAAUAUCUUUCUUGUGCAAGUACUAUUAAGUAGUCCAGUUACAUUUGAAAAGUUGAAAAGUUUACACUGCCAAGUUAAUUCCUUUGAAGACAGGAUUUACUUACAGAAAUAAAGUGAAUCAUGCCAUCAAAUAUUAGACUUUCUGAAUUGCUGUGUACAGAUUAUCUUACCUGGUGUCUGUAGACAGGUGAUCAUCUUAAAACAAAGGUAUGAGUCCAUGGAGUACAGGUCAGUUUUCCAUGAAACAUUCUUGGUUGGAGUGAGGAUGGGGAACAUGGCCAUCCUGAGUCGACACUCCUGGGUUCACAGGGGUCAUGCAACUUUCACAUCUGCCACCUAGAACAACCACAGCCCAAGUCACAUUCUUCUUACGCACAUCUAGUGUGCAUAGCACGCACUCAACUCUUUUCUUGUCCUUCUCACACUAUGCUACCAAAAUCUCCUGUAUCAUCAUAAAGACAAUUAAAAUGUUGCUGAGUCAUUAAUUUAUAAAACUAGAGUGCAGCUGUUGACUUAAGGAAAAUUUUCAAAGCUUUUUGGGAAGAACCAUGUAUUUGUCUCAUUCUCUAUAUAUUUUCUUUCAAUGAAUUAUUUCUCUAAAGAUUAACAGUUGCUAUUGUUUAGUAUCUUUUCCAAGUUGCAGGUAAAAGGAAGCACUUUCAUUUGGGAAUAUACAAAGGUUUUGAUAAGGGAGUGUCCAAGAGGCAUUUUCCCUAGUGACGGGGGAAAUGUAGAAGCCACGUUUACAUGUUAUACUGGUUCAAAGGCUGCAUAUAUACAUAUAAGGCAGUAACAACGCCUGGCACCAAGGGCCUUGGCUAUUUGCUGUUUUACUCUUCUGCAGAUUGGCCUGAGCUGUGUCCAUGGACAUAUGCAGGGUGGGGAGCUAAGUGGGCAUUGUUUCCUGAUGAAUCGGGUACUGAUAUGGUGACAGGGAAGGCAAGUGCAGUGUUGCUGGUAGGAAGAUAAAAUAUGGCAGCCCGUGCAGAACAGUCAAGAGAAAUAAAAACAUACAUCCACACAAAAAUUUAUACACAAUGUUCAUAGCAGUAUUAUCCAUAGUAGCCAAAAAAAAAAAAA